This 2626-nucleotide long non-coding RNA is filed under the name Helianthus annuus (common sunflower). Lineage: Eukaryota; Viridiplantae; Streptophyta; Magnoliopsida; Asterales; Asteraceae. The record is from RNAcentral.
UUUCUCUGAAACCCUAGCCACCAUGUUCCUCCUUCUUCAUUACGAUUCAACUCAAUAGCAACCGUGAUCCUCUUUUUUCUUAGUUGUUCUACGAUUCAAACCCUAAAUCGAUUUCCCCAUUCAUCUUUUUCAUAUAUACAAUCAAUGUCGUCGAUCAAUUGAAUGGUUGAAGAAAAUACUAGGUGCCUCUACUUUCAGUUUCUCUCUCAAAACCCUAGAUCAACGAGUGCAAGUUCGUGUUCUUCACUUUCAUAUUCAUCAAUCAAGAACAUAGAAGAAUGAAGGUGUGUUUGUGUGACGGCUGAAUCUGAUACAAUUUUAGGGUUACGCAUGAAGGAGAGGAGGAAGAAAGAUGAACUGUUAAGGGUCGUCUAACACAAAAGAUUUGGGUUUAAGAAUGAUUUUAGAGUUUCGCAUUGUAAUAGAAUUUAAAAAAAUUAUCAUUUGUUAGGUUCAAGAUUAUGUCAGCAUUGUAAUAGAAUUUAAAAAAAAAAUUCAUCGUCAAGUUUGUUAGGUUCAAGAUUAUGUCGGCUGAUGUAGUUCUGAAUCUUUUUUACCUUUGCAAGAUUAUGAUUGGUCAUUGUUUUAAUUGUUGGGGGAGUUAAAACUUUAAUUGUUGGGGGAGUUAAAACUAAUCGAUUUUGAUAUAGUAAAAGAGGCUCGAGGUGCUGGUAUUGGAGUUAUAAAGAGUUUUAUAGUUAUUGUGAAGAACAACACACUCAAGAUUCAACUUUACUGGGCUGGAAAAGGCUCUACUGGAAUUCCAAUGAGAGGAAGUUAUGGUCCCAUUAUAUCAGCUAUAUCAGUUGACCCGAUUUGCUCAUAGGAAAUGUAUUCAGAAAUAGUGCAACAAGAAAGGGGAUAUAACCUGUGAGAUUUGCAAUCAGGCAUGCAUGGGGCCCGCAAAUUGAUCUCCGGGAUGCUCACUUCUUGGCUUUUGUUUCUGAGAAUCAGUUUCUUGAACCGGAUUUUGAUGAUUACGGUGUAUGAAGUAAUAACAGCAUUGCGUACCUCCGGUUUAUGGCUCUCUUUGCUUUGCUGGUCACAAGAGACCUUCGGAUGUUGCCAGAAGGCUCGUAAGGAGACAAUUGUUAUAGAGGAGGGCUGCGGCGAAAGUUAGGGUUCUGAUGGGUGUGUCUAUGGCGGCUUAGCGGCCGUGGCAUCAACAAUCGGUAGCUUGGUGGUAUGUUUUGGUACUUUAAUUUUGUGUAUGGGUUUUGUUUUGGUGUUGUUUUUGGACUUUAGUUUUGUGGGUGGUUGGUUUAAGCUGAGGGUUGCUGGGUUGAGGAUUAUGGUGGUAUAUGUUUGAUUUUGGGAUUAAUAGUCAGUUUUCCGUUUUUUUUGGUUGAUUAAUUGUUAAACACUAUUCAAAUCCUAUUUGUUGUGCAAGAAUCGGGGUCUACUAUGAUGUUAUUCUAGGUCACAACCUCUUUGAUUACGGUUUGCGAUUUAUCAUUGACAAAUGUGUUCGGAUAAACGAUUUAUAAUUAGUUUUUCGUUUAUUCAAUCUUCUCUGUAAUCAGUUUAAUCUGUUCAUGCUUGUGAUGAUGAAAAUGGGGCGGUAGGGAGCCUUGAAGCGGUGGCAGUUCGUGGUGGUGGGUUAAAGCCGAAGAGGGGGAGAUGGGUGGAGAUUGUGCAGGUGCAUGGUUGCAUACCGAAGGUACAGAACUGCAGACAGAAAUGACAAGAAAGAAAGCCUGAGUCGUGAGUUCGUGACCCUGACUUAUCAACGGUCAUGAACCUUUUAGGGAUGAAAAAUGAUGUGGUUAAGGUGGCUGAUUUCGGUGUUGCAAGAGUGAAGGCUCAGACUGGUGUAAUGACAGCAGAAACCGGGACAUAUCGGUGGAUUUCUCCUGAGGGAAGUAUUAGUAUAUUGAUGCUAUGCUAGAAGGAGACCGUGUGAUAGUGGACAUAGAUUCACAUCAGAGUUUGAAAUUGCAAGAUCCACCAAAAGCUACAGAACGGUUCUUUAAAUGCUUCCUCAUAUAACUGUGAUAUGACCCGAUCGUCGGCAGAAUAUCCUCAACAUAGUUUCUGAUGCUGCAAAACAGAGCUUAAAGAAGAAAGGAAUGCCUCUGUCCCCUUAGUGAAGAGCCGAUUAUGUUAAAGACUUAAAGCUAAAUGGCUCUCUCCUUGCAAUCGAAUGCUCAACAAUCCGACUAAUGAUAAGAAUAACCAAUCUUUUACUGAAAUUGCAAGCAAAUCUAACCAGAUUCCAGACGCGAAAGACCUGAUUUUGAUGGAUGAGUUUGAAGAUAUUGGAGGAGGUAUAGAGGAAGCUAUGAAACAUUGGGAGCUAUUAGAGAUUAAACCAAAGUUUCUAUAAUAAUUAUGGGGCGUGGGGAUAGUGGGUAAAUCUGUCUUGGUGCUUCGGUGCAUGGCACAAAGUCUCAGGCCUGUUUGUCUGUGUGGAUGAAAAGCGCUUUGUGCAUGGCGCAAAGUCUUAGCCUAUUUGGUAUGCUAGAGUUUUUGGCUGGUUUUUGAAGAUGAUUCAGAAGACUACAAGUGAAAAAUUAACUUGUGGAUGACAAGAUGGUAGACCUCAUGGAUGCUCAUAAGUUUGACUGUUUUUUUUAGAUUAUAUGGAUCUUAGUUGAUUCAAAUUUGACGCUGAGAAGUAAAAAAG